RNAcentral lists this transfer RNA (69 nucleotides) under Ictidomys tridecemlineatus (thirteen-lined ground squirrel). RNAcentral's name for it is "Spermophilus tridecemlineatus (thirteen-lined ground squirrel) tRNA". It matches the Rfam family "tRNA". Rfam says of the family: Transfer RNA (tRNA) molecules are approximately 80 nucleotides in length. Lineage: Eukaryota; Metazoa; Chordata; Mammalia; Rodentia; Sciuridae. The record is from Rfam by way of RNAcentral.
GGGGUUGUAGCUCAAUGGUAGAGCGCUUGCCUCGCCUGCAUGAGGCCCUGGGUUCAAUUCUCAGCACCA